CCUACGGGAGGCAGCAGUGAGGAAUAUUGGUCAAUGGGCGCGAGCCUGAACCAGCCAAGUAGCGUGAAGGAUGACUGCCCUACGGGUUGUAAACUUCUUUUAUAAAGGAAUAAAGUGAGGCACGUGUGCCUUUUUGUAUGUACUUUAUGAAUAAGGAUCGGCUAACUCCGUGCCAGCAGCCGCGGUAAUACGGAGGAUCCGAGCGUUAUCCGGAUUUAGUGGGUUUAAAGGGAGCGUAGAUGGGUUGUUAAGUCAGUUGUGAAAGUUUGCGGCUCAACCGUAAAAUUGCAAUUGAUACUGGCAGUCUUGAGUACAUUUGAGGUCGGCGGAAUUCGUGGUGUAGUGGUGAACUGCUUCGAUCUCACGAAGAACUCCGAUUGCGACGGCAGCUUACUAAACUGCCACUGACAUUGAUGCUCGAAAGUGUGGGUAUCAAACAGGAUUAGAUACCCGAGUAGUC
RNAcentral lists this ribosomal RNA (460 nucleotides) under uncultured bacterium. RNAcentral describes it as "partial 16S ribosomal RNA". It matches the Rfam family "Bacterial small subunit ribosomal RNA", at positions 338 to 795 of the family's 1533-position model. The record is from RNAcentral.